Molecule: ribosomal RNA, 445 nt
Filed under: Escherichia coli
Lineage: Bacteria; Pseudomonadati; Pseudomonadota; Gammaproteobacteria; Enterobacterales; Enterobacteriaceae
Description: bacterial SSU rRNA
Rfam family: Bacterial small subunit ribosomal RNA
Source: RNAcentral
GGCUCAGAUUGAACGCUGGCGGCAGGCCUAACACAUGCAAGUCGAACGGUAACAGGAAGCAGCUUGCUGUUUCGCUGACGAGUGGCGGACGGGGGAGUAAUGUCUGGGAAACUGCCUGAUGGAGGGGGAUAACUACUGGAAACGGUAGCUAAUACCGCAUAACGUCGCAAGACCAAAGAGGGGGACCUUCGGGCCUCUUGCCAUCGGAUGUGCCCAGAUGGGAUUAGCUAGUAGGUGGGGUAACGGCUCACCUAGGCGACGAUCCCUAGCUGGUCUGAGAGGAUGACCAGCCACACUGGAACUGAGACACGGUCCAGACUCCUACGGGAGGCAGCAGUGGGGAAUAUUGCACAAUGGGCGCAAGCCUGAUGCAGCCAUGCCGCGUGUAUGAAGAAGGCCUUCGGGUUGUAAAGUACUUUCAGCGGGGAGGAAGGGAGUAAAGUUA